Molecule: non-coding RNA, 21 nt
Filed under: Caenorhabditis elegans
Lineage: Eukaryota; Metazoa; Nematoda; Chromadorea; Rhabditida; Rhabditidae
Source: RNAcentral
UACUGUUUGCUUCUUUUUUGA